Long non-coding RNA from Pyrus x bretschneideri (Chinese white pear), 423 nucleotides. RefSeq lists it as uncharacterized. Lineage: Eukaryota; Viridiplantae; Streptophyta; Magnoliopsida; Rosales; Rosaceae. The transcript has 3 exons. The record is from RefSeq and is a predicted model, not a curated record.
AUUUCCUGGACAUGACACACUACUAAAAUUAGGUUGUAAGCUCAGCGAAUGCAGAAUUAUUCUACGUGAAUCAGGAGCAAAGCACAGGUUGCAGAAGUUGCAGCCCAAUUUCCCAAGCGACGAUGUGGCGUUUGCACUCAAGGACAACCGUUCGUUAAGUUUCGCCUUUCCAUUGAAUUAACAGGACAGGACAGGACCGGAGAAGCAACAAUACUCCAGCUUAUCGCAUGCUUGUAUUAGGCUUGAGACGGAAUCUGAUGGUCAUAAUUUUACAGCCUGGAAGUAGAAAUGCUCUAUUUCCUUUCACCUUAAGACCCGUGGGUUCAGAGAUUAGGCAGCAGUUGUUGAGACUCGAGAGCGCUUGAAAGCUUGACGAGCAAGCGAAAAGCUCCCUUGCUCAUAUAGACAAGAAACAAGCAGAGG